This 253-nucleotide ribosomal RNA is filed under the name uncultured bacterium. RNAcentral's name for it is "partial 16S ribosomal RNA". It matches the Rfam family "Bacterial small subunit ribosomal RNA", at positions 524 to 776 of the family's 1533-position model. The record is from RNAcentral.
UACGUAGGGUGCGAGCGUUGUCCGGAAUCAUUGGGCGUAAAGCGCGCGUAGGUGGCCAUUUAAGUCCGCUGUGAAAGUCAAAGGCUCAACCUUUGAAAGCCGGUGGAUACUGGAUGGCUAGAGUACGGAAGAGGCGAGUGGAAUUCCUGGUGUAGCGGUGGAAUGCGCAGAUAUCAGGAGGAACACCAAUAGCGAAGGCAGCUCGCUGGGACGGUACUGACGCUGAGGCACGAAAGCGUGGGGAGCAAACAGG